Molecule: non-coding RNA, 135 nt
Organism: Triticum urartu
Lineage: Eukaryota; Viridiplantae; Streptophyta; Magnoliopsida; Poales; Poaceae
Source: Rfam
AUUGUGCUCCCUUCGUUCAAAAAUACUUGUCAUCAAAAUGGAUAAAAAGAUAUGUAUCUAGAACCAAAAUACAUCUAGAUACAUCCCCUUUUAUCCAUUUUGAUGACAAGUAUUUACGGACGAAGGGAGUACUAA